GACGAACGCUGGCGGCGUGCCUAAUACAUGCAAGUCAAGCGGAUUGAUGGGAGCUUGCUCCCUGAUAUCAGCGGCGGACGGGUGAGUAACACGUGGGCAACCUGCCUAUAAGACUGGGAUAACUUCGGGAAACCGGAGCUAAUACCGGAUAAUCCCUUUCCUCUCAUGAGGAAAGGCUGAAAGAUGGUUUACGCUAUCACUUAUAGAUGGGCCCGCGGCGCAUUAGCUAGUUGGUGAGGUAACGGCUCACCAAGGCAACGAUGCGUAGCCGACCUGAGAGGGUGAUCGGCCACACUUGGACGGAGACACGGCCCAGACUCCUACGGGAGGCAGCAGUAGGGAAUCGUCCGCAAUGGGCGAAAGUCUGACGGAGCAACGCCGCGUGAGUGAUGAAGGUUUUCGGAUCGUAAAACUCUGUUGUUAGGGAAGAACAAGUACGAGAGUAACUGCUCGUACCUUGACGGUACCUAACCAGAAAGCCACGGCUAACUACGUGCCAGCCGCCGCCGUAA
This 512-nucleotide ribosomal RNA is filed under the name uncultured bacterium. RNAcentral describes it as "partial 16S ribosomal RNA". It matches the Rfam family "Bacterial small subunit ribosomal RNA", at positions 28 to 523 of the family's 1533-position model. The record is from RNAcentral.